Molecule: ribosomal RNA, 164 nt
Filed under: Bromus japonicus (Japanese brome)
Lineage: Eukaryota; Viridiplantae; Streptophyta; Magnoliopsida; Poales; Poaceae
Description: 5.8S ribosomal RNA
Rfam family: 5.8S ribosomal RNA
About the family: 5.8S ribosomal RNA (5.8S rRNA) is a component of the large subunit of the eukaryotic ribosome. It is transcribed by RNA polymerase I as part of the 45S precursor that also contains 18S and 28S rRNA. Functionally, it is thought that 5.8S rRNA may be involved in ribosome translocation.
Source: RNAcentral
CACACGACUCUCGGCAACGGAUAUCUCGGCUCUUGCAUCGAUGAAGAACGUAGCGAAAUGCGAUACCUGGUGUGAAUUGCAGAAUCCCGUGAACCAUCGAGUCUUUGAACGCAAGUUGCGCCCGAGACCACUCGGUCGAGGGCACGCCUGCUUGGGCGUCACGC